GUGAAUCAUCGAAUUUUUGAACGCAAAUUGCACUCUCUUCGGAGAGUAUGCCUGUUUGAGGGUCAGUAUCAAUAAAAAUCUCUGUGUUGCUUCUUUGUGACGCUCCGGAGUUUGGGUCAUCUUAAUAUCCUUUAGGUUGUAAGAGGCUUAAAAUUGACUUUUUUUUCGCAUUUUGGAUGUACAUAAAUUCUUUUUUUUAUUCGUCUGUAUUAAUGCUUAUAAUCUUAUCAUAUGCUACAGUAUCGUGUGCU
Molecule: unclassified non-coding RNA, 251 nt
Filed under: Rhizophagus sp. (in: glomeromycetes)
Lineage: Eukaryota; Fungi; Glomeromycota; Glomeromycetes; Glomerales; Glomeraceae
Description: partial contains 5.8S ribosomal RNA and internal transcribed spacer 2
Rfam family: 5.8S ribosomal RNA (bases 1-65)
Source: RNAcentral